AUUGAACGCUGGCGGCAUGCCUUACACAUGCAAGUCGAACGGCAGCACGGGAGCAAUCCUGGUGGCGAGUGGCGAACGGGUGAGUAAUAUAUCGGAACGUGCCCAGUCGUGGGGGAUAACGUAGCGAAAGCUACGCUAAUACCGCAUACGAUCUAUGGAUGAAAGCGGGGGAUCGCAAGACCUCGCGCGAUUGGAGCGGCCGAUAUCAGAUUGGGUAGUUGGUGAGGUAAAGGCUCACCAAGCCGACGAUCUGUAGCUGGUCUGAGAGGACGACCAGCCACACUGGGACUGAGACACGGCCCAGACUCCUAC
Molecule: ribosomal RNA, 312 nt
Filed under: uncultured bacterium
Lineage: Bacteria
Description: bacterial SSU rRNA
Rfam family: Bacterial small subunit ribosomal RNA
Source: RNAcentral